RNAcentral lists this RNase P RNA (149 nucleotides) under Actinomycetota bacterium. Its description in RNAcentral is "partial RNase P RNA component class A". It matches the Rfam family "Bacterial RNase P class A", at positions 1 to 151 of the family's 367-position model. From Rfam's summary of the family: Ribonuclease P (RNase P) is a ubiquitous endoribonuclease, found in archaea, bacteria and eukarya as well as chloroplasts and mitochondria. Its best characterised activity is the generation of mature 5'-ends of tRNAs by cleaving the 5'-leader elements of precursor-tRNAs. Lineage: Bacteria; Bacillati; Actinomycetota. The record is from RNAcentral.
CGAGCUGGCCGGGCGGUCGCGGCGGGCUCGGUGACGGGCCCGUCGAGGAAAGUCCGGACUCCUCAGGGCAGGGUGGUUGCUAACGGCAACCCGGGGUGACCCGCGGGACAGUGCCACAGAAAACAGACCGCCCCGCGUGAGCGGGGUAA